GUACAGUCUGUGGUGAUUCUGUGUGGGGGCAGGAUAUACCUGAAACCAACUCCAGCUUUGCCCCCUUUGGAAGCUGGGACUCAACUUCCCUUCGAAAUUCCGUGGCUGUGUUCAGCUAUCCUGAGAAGAGCUGGCUAGCAAGGGAGGUUUUCAAUGUAAACAACAGUGGGGUCUGAAUCUAGAAGCCAGAAUGGAACCUCAAGCCACAUGUCGCUUGUGCAACCAAUGUGUGUGCUGAGAGAUCACAGUGCGCUGGCUCAGGAUGGAAGCAGCUUUCCUGUUAGCUACAUGCUGUGAGAAGGAAAGGAGAAGUGAAGCCCCUUUGGUAACAGGAAGACAUUGAGGAGAAGGCAACGCCCAGCCCAGGCUGCACAGGCUCUGCCCCUUCCCCUCAUUGGAUGCACCUCCUGCAUUGCGUGUCUCUGUCACAAAGAGCUUGCAAUCAUCCACCAUGGGGCUAAUGACUAGUAUCUGUGUCUCAAGUGAGGCAGUCUCAAGAUGCAUUCUUGAGUGCCUUACCCAGCAGCCCAGGGGCAAUUCCAGAAGCCAGUUUCUCAACCCAAGUGCAGCUAUUAUUUUUUUGAAUGAGUCUAAUAAAGUAAUAAUUAAGUUCAUGUUGAACAAUGGCAGGAGAUAAAGAGGCAGGCAGAGCCCCCUCUGAAUCUUUAUUCCCAUUGCAUCAAAGGUGGCCUGAAUUUAGUGCAAGGGAAAGGUCUUGAUCCAUUGCCCACUGUGAUAUUUCCAUUGACUUCAGUGGGCACUAGAUCAGGCCCCUAAUCUUUGAUCUCUGUUGUCAGCAAGGACACCAGUUAUUGCCAGCUGAGCUGGUGGAUGUAGUGAUGUGUGAUACUCAUCCCCUAGGGAAUGGAUGGAGAUCAGCCAAUGCUUGUCAUAUGUGCCACUGAACAGCCAUCAUGGGGUAAAAGUUGUUGUCUACCAAAUGCAGGCAUGUUUCUGGAAAUCUGCCUGUGUGUCUGCAAUUGGAUGUGCAAAAUGUCCAUCCAAUUUUCACACAG
Chelonoidis abingdonii (Abingdon island giant tortoise) is the source of this 1016-nucleotide long non-coding RNA. RefSeq lists it as uncharacterized. The record is from RefSeq and is a predicted model, not a curated record. Lineage: Eukaryota; Metazoa; Chordata; Testudines; Testudinidae.